Molecule: ribosomal RNA, 501 nt
Filed under: uncultured bacterium
Lineage: Bacteria
Description: partial 16S ribosomal RNA
Rfam family: Bacterial small subunit ribosomal RNA
Source: RNAcentral
GACGAACGCUGGCGGCGUGCUUAACACAUGCAAGUCGAACGGGUCUGCCCUGUUUUUUUGCGGGGUGGUUAGGUGGCGAACGGGGGAUUAACACGUGGUUAACCUCCCCCCCAUUCUUGGAUACCCCCUUGAAGGGGUGGCUAAUACGGGGUGUUUUGCUUGGGCGGAUUGGGUUGGCUGGGAAGGAUUCACUUUUUGGGUGUUUUGGUGGGGGAUGGGCUGGCGGCCUAUCAGCUUGUGGGGGGGGUGAUGGCCUGCCAAGGUUUGGACGGGUGGCCGGCAUGGGGGGGUGGGCGGUCACACUGGGACUGAGAUACGGCCCAGACUCCUGCGGGAGGCAGCAGUGGGGGGUAUUGCACAAUGGGCGGAAGCCUGAUGCAGCGACGUCGCGUGAGGGAUGGAGGCCUUCGGGUUGUGAACCUCUUUCGCCGGUGAAGAAGGUCCUGCUCUUUGUGGUGGGGUUGACGGUAGCCGGGUUAUGAAGCGCCGGCUAACUACGUG